GUAAACCGGAACGGUACCGGACCGGUAACCCCCUAUCCCUUCAGUUUGCCCAUCCAUUAAGUUGGGCACUCCUGUGGAGACUGCCGGUGUCAAACCGGAGGAAGUGGGGAUGACGUCAAGUCCUCAUGGCCCUUAUGACCAGGGCUACACACGUGCUACAAUGGCCGGUACAAAGAGUUGCGAUACCGCGAGGUGGAGCUAAUCUCAUAAAAGCCGGUCUCAGUUCGGAUUGGAGUCUGCAACUCGACUCCAUGAAGUUGGAAUCGCUAGUAAUCGCGGAUCAGCAUGCCGCGGUGAAUACGUUCCCGGGCCUU
Molecule: ribosomal RNA, 314 nt
Filed under: uncultured Geobacter sp.
Lineage: Bacteria; Pseudomonadati; Thermodesulfobacteriota; Desulfuromonadia; Geobacterales; Geobacteraceae
Description: bacterial SSU rRNA
Rfam family: Bacterial small subunit ribosomal RNA
Source: RNAcentral